AUUAUCAUGAGGCAGGGUUCCCCAACCCCAAGAAGGACAGGUUAGAAGUGUAAUAUUAUCAUGAGGCAGGGUUCCCCAACCCCAAGAACGAGAUGUUAGAAGUGUAAUAUUAUUAUGAGGCAGGGUUCCCCAACCCCAAGAACGAGAUGUUAGAAGUGUAAUAUUAUCAUGAGGCAGGGUUCCCCAAGAAGGAGAGGUUAGGAGAAGUGUAAUAUUAUCAUAAGGCAGGGUUCCCCAACCCCAAGAAGGAGAGGUUAGAAGUGUAAUAUCAUCAUGAGACAGGGUUCCCCAAGAAGGAGAGGUUAGGAGAAGUGUAAUAUUAUCACGAGGCAGGGUUCCCCAACCCCAAGAAGGACAGGUUAGAAGUGUAAUAUUAUCAUGAGGCAGGGUUUCCCAACCCCAAGAACGAGAUGUUAGAAGUGU
Molecule: long non-coding RNA, 423 nt
Organism: Oncorhynchus tshawytscha (Chinook salmon)
Lineage: Eukaryota; Metazoa; Chordata; Actinopteri; Salmoniformes; Salmonidae
Source: Ensembl